RNAcentral lists this unclassified non-coding RNA (5721 nucleotides) under Hevea brasiliensis (rubber tree). Lineage: Eukaryota; Viridiplantae; Streptophyta; Magnoliopsida; Malpighiales; Euphorbiaceae. The record is from RNAcentral.
CUCCAUAUAAAAGCAACCCGCUCCCACUUUUCUUCCCCUUCUGCAAUCCUCAGCUUUCUUUGUGUCUGCAGUACUCUCCUCUCUCUUUGGUGUGUAUUGUUCGUUUCCUUCUCUUGCAAUCAUAGAAUCUUUUAUUCACUUCGCCAUAGAUUAUUUGCUCUUUAAACAUAUGUUUCUCUCUCUUGCCCAUCAGAGUCUUCAUAUAUAUGUCGAUCCUUGAAUUUUAAACCCUAGAGCCCUUUUGUUAUUUAAAAAAAAAAUUUGUUGGUGUGUUUAAGGGCGAGGCAAUUUGGGAGUUUCUGGUUGGAUAGCAUUAAUGCUUACUGCGAGUUGAAGCCAGACUCUAUUGCACCAUGGGUUUUGAUAAUGAGUGCAUACUGAACAUUCAAUCUCUGGCUGGAGAAUAUUUCUGUCCUGUUUGCCGUCUGCUAGUCUAUCCAAAUGAAGCAUUACAGUCCUUGUGUACCCACCUAUACUGUAAGCCAUGUUUAACAUAUAUUGUGAGCACUACCAGGGCUUGCCCCUAUGAUGGCUACUUGGUGACAGAAGCAGAUUCCAAGCCUCUUAUUGAAUCAAACAAAGCUCUAGCUGAAACCAUUGGCAAGAUAACAGUUCAUUGUCUAUACCAUAGAAGUGGAUGCACUUGGCAGGGUCCUUUAUCUGAGUGUACUUCUCAUUGUUCUGGAUGUGCCUUUGGUAAUUCUCCUGUUGUAUGUAACCGGUGUGGUAUUCAAAUUGUGCAUCGUCAAGUGCAGGAACAUGCACAAAAUUGUCCUGGUGUGCAGUCUCAAGCUCAGUCGGAUGCUGCCCAGGAUGCUACAGCCACAGGGACAACACCUGUUAGUACCCAGGUUGCUGCUCAGGCAGGAACUACUACCACUCAGGAUCAGACAUCUCAAACCACAGCAACCUCAUUACCUGUACAAGAUCCCAACCAGCAAGCCAACCAAACUUCACAGCCCCAGUCUGUAGUGCAGGCUACUGUGCCCACAGCAGAACAGUGGUAUCAACAGCAGCAACAAUAUCAACAGUACUACCAACAAUAUCCUGGAUAUGAUCCUUAUCAACAGCAUUAUCAGCAAUACUACCCUUAUCAACAGCAAGCAGUUCCGCAAUAUCCACAACCUCAGGUUUAUCUGCAGCCUCAGUUCCCUCAACAGCAAGUUCAACCUCAGACUCAGCUGCAAACACAAUCUCUGUCAAAUCCACAUGUUCAGGCGCCUGCUGCUGCUGCUGCUCAGCCCCAGAACCAGCCACAAGUCAAUCUGCAGCAACAAACUCACACUGUUCAGCCACAGUCUCAAAUACAAUCACAGAUUAACCCACCACCCCAUGGCCAACCACAAUCUCAGGCUCAGCAGCACCCACAAACCCACCCUGUUCAGCAUCAUCUUCAACAUGUACAAAUGCCUCAAAAUCCGCGGCCUCAUUCGCAGAUUCAGCAUCCGCAACCCCAAGUUCAGGCACUGGCUCAUUCUCAGCUUCAUCCUCAGUAUCCUGUUCCUCAACCUCGACAUCAUUCACAAGGUCUGCCUCAGACACAUGCUCAACAUCCUUCGCAGCCUGUUCCACAAGCCUUUACUUCUCAGCCAAACCAGCCAUUGAAUCCUCAUCUCCAGCCUCAGCUACAACAUUCAUCAGCCCAUGCAGUGACAGGCCAUAACUCUUAUACCCAACCACAGUCUCAACAGCAAAUGCAGCUGGGAGGUCCACAACAUCCUCCACAUUUUUAUCCUCAAGGUAGGCCUCAACCACAAUCACAUCUUGUUCAAAUGCAGAGUCAGUUCCCUCAACAACCUCCUUUGUUACGUCCACCACAAUCUCAUGGUCCAAUUCAAAACCCUCAACAGCCUGGUUUGUUACCUUCACCUGGUCAAGUCCCUAAUGUGCCUCCUGUACAGCAGCAACCAGUGCAUUCCCAUGCUCAACAACCUGGACUUCCUCAUCAACACCUUGUUAUGCAGUCAGUUCAGCAACAAGUCCAUCAGCAGUAUGUGCAGCAGCAGCCAUUUUCUGGACAAGCGCCAGUGCCAGUUCAGAAUCAGGUGCCUCAGCAAGGUGCUUACACGCAGCAACAAUUGCAUGUGCAUUCUCAAAUACGUCCCCAGGGGCUGCCCCCAUCAUUCCAGCAACCUUCUAAUGCCUAUCCACUGCCUCAGCAGAAUGUUGCAUUACUGCAUGGCACGCAAUCCCAUCAAGCCCAAACUCUUGGUGGAAGGCCUAUGGUGCCACCUCAUGGAGUGCCAACUCAGCCACAUCCUCACUCAUCUGCUCUCAUGCAGGUAAAGCCAAUGGAGGUUGGUGCAGGUCAAUCAGGAAUUGCACUAAGGACCAACAACCAAGAUCAAUCGCCUUCUGAGCUACAGUCUGGGCCUAUUUCAAGACCAAUGUCUGAGAAACAAGGGGAUCACACUAUUGAGAAAAGUUCAGAAGCUGAAUCUACUCAUAAAAAUGUUAAAAGGGAUCCUGAUGAUUUGGAUGUUGCUUCUGGUGUUGUGGCUGAUGUAGGCGCGGUAAAGACUGUAAAAUCUGAAUGCUAUUUGAAGCCAGUGGAUGCUGACAAUAAACCCAUGGGUAAUGUCAAGGAUAUAUCAGAAUCUCAUGGAGCUGAGAAUGGAGAGUAUUUGAUUAAGCAGGUAAAGAAAGAGCCUAGAGAGGCUAGUAAUGACCAGAAAGAUGGUUCUAAUACCGACCAUAAAAGGGUUGAACAUUCUGUUGUGUCAGAAGACAAGGAAAUGAAAAGUGGGCCUCUGUUGAAAACUCCUCCAUUGCAGGAAGGUGAACACCUUGAAGACCAUAGUAUGAAAUUACAGGACUUGAACUUGACUCCACAAUGUUCUGGAGGCUUUACUCUGCACGGGCAGGUGCAAGGUGAGGGCUUGGUACAACCCUCUCAUUUGGUUCCCAUUGCUGAGCAGGGAAAGCAGCAGCCUCCUUUAAUUCCUCAUGGGCCUUCUGUCCUUCAACAAAGGCCUGUUGGAUCCCCAUUGUUACAAGCACCUCCUCCUGGACCUCCACAUCACAUGCAUUUACCUGGGCAUCCAUCCGCCCCAUCAAGGUCUUUGGGUUCUGGGCAUAUGUCUCAUACUGGACAACCUUUGAAUCCACUCCAUGAACAUCUCCAGCAACCUCUGUACAAGCAGUCUCAUGGUCCUGAAGUCUCUCCUAUUGGCAUUGCUGGCUUGGGCUCUACUUCAAUCUUUGGGAGGGGUCCAAGUCAUUAUGGUCCACAGGGACCUUCUACUCAAGGUCAUGGACUCCCUUUGGAAGGUGAAAGAACAUCAUUAUAUGGCCAUGAAUCUGACAUGUUUCCAAAUCAGAGGCCCAGCUAUACAGAUGGCAGAAGACUAGAUCCAUUUGGGAAACAAUCUGGCAUGCACACAAAUGCGAUGAGAUUGAAUGGUGCCCCAGGGCCAGACUCCUUGGGAAGUGGAUCACGGGAUGAUCGGUUCAGGCCUUUGCUAGAUGAGCAUAUGAAUCCCUUUCCACAGGAUCCAGGCCGAAUUGUUGAUCAGGCAGAGUUUGAAGAAGAUGCCAAGCAUUUCCCCAGGCCUUCUCAUUUGGACACUGAAUCUGUUCAAAAAUAUGGAAGUCAAUUUCCCCCUUCAAGACCUCUUGAUAGGGUACCUCAUAGUUUUGGUAUGAAUUUACCCCUGAAAACUCUUGACCAGGGACCACAUGGUAUGAAUUAUGAUUCGGGGAUGAAAUUGGAAUCCUUGGGUGGCUCUGCACCCCCAAAGUUCUUUCCUAAUCAUCAUGAUGGUUUAAUGCAUCCCAAUGAUAUAGGAGAAAGGCCAAUUGUUUUUCUUGACAAGACUGCAGGCAGGCAGCCAGAUACUGCUCAAACCCAACCAGAUCUUUUUGGACCAGUUCCUAGAUAUGGUCGUCGUCAUAUGGAUGGUUUGGCUACUAGAAGUCCAGGUAGAGAUUAUCCUGGUGUAUCCUCACAUGGAGUUGGAGCCUUUCCUGGACUUGAUGAUAUUGCUGGCAGGGAAUCACGACGAUUUGGUGAUUCAUUUCAUAAUAAUAGGUUUCCAGCUUUACCCAGCCAUUUACGCAGGGGCCAGUUUGAGGGUCCUGGUCAAGAUGGAUUUCCCAAUCAUUUGCGAAGGGGUGAGCAUAUGCUUAUGGGAGAGCCUUUUGGUUUUGGUGCUUUCCCUGGUCCUGCACGGAUGGGAGAAUUGCCUGGGCCCGGGAAUUUCUUUCAUUCACGACUUGGUGAGCCAGGAUUUAGGAGCGGCUUUUCCCACAAGGGAAUUCCUGGUGAUGGUGGAAACUAUCCAGGUGACUUGGAAUCUUUUGAUGGUUCAAGAAGGAGAAAGGCAUCUAGCAUGGGAUGGUGUCGUAUUUGUAAAGUUGACUGUGAAAGUGUUGAAGGCUUAGACAUACAUUCACAGACGAGGGACCAUCAAAAGAUGGCUAUGGAUAUGGUUGUGACAAUCAAGCAGAAUGCAAAAAAGCAAAAAUUAGCCUCCAGUGAUCAUUCCUCACUUGAUAAUGCAAGCAAGUCAAGGAAUGCCAGUUUUGAGGGCCGUGGGAAUAAGAAUUAAGUUGUGGUAGCAUGUUACAAUGUGAAUCACCUGGGUGCAUUGCUGGCUCAGGGUUGAUUUUUUUGCUUUGAUAUAUUUGAACUUGUUGGCAUAGGUGACUCAACCUUCCUUUGCUUUCUGGGUGGUUUUGCUAGUCUUGUCAUUUCAGGUUGCUGCCCUGUUAAAGGAGAUGUUUUGCAGAGCUGAAGUUCAGUGGCAAUUUUUUCAAUUCGACCUGUCUUUUUACGGCCGAAGCAAACAACAAAAAGACAGAAAGUUCGGCGGAAAGGUUUACUCAGUCAUCUUUUUUAGAUGUGGCAAGAUUAUGUUCAAUGUACAAAUGUAAGUCUAUUCUUUGCUCAUUGGCAUUGAUGUUCUUGAAUUUACUAUGUCAACAUUGGAAAUUUUUUGAAUAGGUUACUGUUUUUUAGGAUAAAGUAUUCUGUAGUUGAAACUAUAUUGGGAUGGUCUUUGCGAUGCGACUGUUGGAAAACUUGAGAGGCUUAGAGAACUCUUUGUGAUGGUUGGAAACUUGAGAGGCUUAGAGAAUUCUUUUUGAUUGUUGGAAACUUGAGAGGCUUAGGGAACUUGAGGCUUUGUUUAGUUGUGGAAAAAUAGAAGAUGAUGAAAUCAAAUUUCUAAAUUUUCUAAUUUUAAACUAACUGGUGGAUAACAAGUUUAGAUAGUUUUCCAUUAUUUCUUUACAAAAGUAGGAGGCUCUGCUAGGGUAGAAAACACGGUGUUUUCCACUUGUUAUAUAUUUUUGGUGUCUUGUUGCUAAUAUCGAAUUCCAAUAAUCACUACACACCUACCUAGAUGCUAUUUCAUAGUUUCUUUACAGAUUUUUUUAAAAUAUAAAUUUUAUAUCAAUUUUGAAAUGUUAAAAUAAAUUGUUUGUUUAAAAAAAUUACAAUAAAUUAUUGCUAUAAUAAUUAUCAUGGUAGUUAUAUUAUUUUCUUCUAUUUUUUUCUUUCAAAUCGAUGUAUAAUAUUAAAUUACCUACUAUCUUCCAAAUCUGUAGCUUUACCAACUGAAUGUGUAUUUCUAAACUUAUCACUUGGUGAUAGGUUCAAUGAACGUUAUUUUAUUUUUUAAUUUUCUUAAAUUUGUUUUAUAAUAAUAUAUAUUAAUGCUUCAAAAAAUAAAUGUUAAAAAUAUUUAAAUUUCAGAUAUUAGACUCAUUAACUUUUUU